Molecule: long non-coding RNA, 893 nt
Filed under: Sarcophilus harrisii (Tasmanian devil)
Lineage: Eukaryota; Metazoa; Chordata; Mammalia; Dasyuromorphia; Dasyuridae
Description: lncRNA (ENSSHAG00000020627.1)
Source: RNAcentral
GGCACUCUGUUAAGUGCUGGGGAUGACAAAGACAUAAAGGAAACAGCCCCGGCUUUCAGGAAGCUUUCAUGAAGACCAAAAGACCUGAGAUGGAACGUAGGUGUCCCUCUCUGCCAGUGAUUCUUCCUAAGAUCUCGGGUUUAUUUUGAGGAAAGUGUUUUCUCAUCUGUAAAUAAGAACUACUUCUACUUCUACUCUUGGAAGUCAACACAUCCCUCCACUGUUGGUGACAGGGACCAGGCUGCUUGCAAUAUGUCCACAAUGAAAGGAACAGCUCUGGGAAGUCCUAGCAUCUGGUUCCUUUGAGGUUUGGGUUCUUGGCCCAGCAUGCUGGUGAAAGAGGUGGUGAAGGUCUCUCACGUUGCUUGGAGGUUAGAACUUUUAUGGCCCUAAAGAGAAUUUCACUCAAAGAAAAGCCCAUUAGUUCUUGCCAAUGAGCCUAGGACUAUCUCAUCUGGAAAUUUCAUAAGGCCAUAGAUUGAGACUUGGAAGGAACUUUAGAAACCAUCUCGUUCAACCUGAUUAUUUUAUUGAUGAAUCUGAUGAAUCAAUCAUAUUGCUGAAUCAUAUAGAGGUUAAGGAAUUUGCUUAAAUCACAGAGGUAGUAAAUAACAGAGGCAAUCAAUUGAGAGACAGCUAUACUAAACUUGGAGUCAGAAAAGACCCAGAUCCAAAUCCCCACUCUGAUACUUACUAGGUGUAUGUGAAUCUGGGGGAACCAGAAGUUUCUGGCUCAGUUUCUUCAUUUGCAAGGUAGGAUAAUAAUACACAUGGGAUGUAUUUCAAGGAUUGUUUUGAGACUCAAACAAACAAAUAUAUAUUAAAAUUAUAUAUAAUGAAUACUAAUAACUAAUAUAUUAUUAAUUUUGAUGUAUUUUGAAGAUUGAAGAACU